GACGAACGCUGGCGGCGUGCUUAACACAUGCAAGUCGAACGGAAAGGCCCUGCUAUUGUGGGGUGCUCGAGUGGCGAACGGGUGAGUAACACGUGAGUAACCUGCCCCUGACUUUGGGAUAACUUCAGGAAACUGGGGCUAAUACCGGAUAGGAGCUCCUGCUGCAUGGUGGGGGUUGGAAAGUCUCGGCGGGUGGGGAUGGACUCGCGGCUUAUCAGCUUGUUGGUGGGGUAGUGGCUUACCAAGGCUUUGACGGGUAGCCGGCCUGAGAGGGUGACCGGCCACAUUGGGACUGAGAUACGGCCCAGACUCCUACGGGAGGCAGCAGUGGGGAGUAUUGCACAGUGGGCGGAAGCCUGAUGCAGCAACGCCGCGUGCGGGAUGACGGCCUUCGGGUUGUAAACCGCUUUCGCCUGUGACGACGCGUGAGUGACGGUAAUGGGUAAAGAAGCACCGGCUAACUACGUG
Molecule: ribosomal RNA, 468 nt
Filed under: uncultured bacterium
Lineage: Bacteria
Description: partial 16S ribosomal RNA
Rfam family: Bacterial small subunit ribosomal RNA
Source: RNAcentral